CACAUGCAAGUCGAACGGAAAGGCCCAGCUUGCUGGGUACUCGAGUGGCGAACGGGUGAGUAACACGUGGGUGAUCUGCCCUGCACUCUGGGAUAAGCCUGGGAAACUGGGUCUAAUACCGGAUAUGACCAACUGUCGCAUGGUGGUUGGUGGAAAGCUUUUGCGGUGUGGGAUGGGCCCGCGGCCUAUCAGCUUGUUGGUGGGGUAAUGGCCUACCAAGGCGACGACGGGUAGCCGACCUGAGAGGGUGAUCGGCCACACUGGGACUGAGACACGGCCCAGACUCCUACGGGAGGCAGCAGUGGGGAAUAUUGCACAAUGGGCGCAAGCCUGAUGCAGCGACGCCGCGUGAGGGAUGACGGCCUUCGGGUUGUAAACCUCUUUCACCAGGGACGAAGCGUGAGUGACGGUACCUGGAGAAGAAGCACCGGCCAACUACGUGCCAGCAGCCGCGGUAAUACGUAGGGUGCGAGCGUUGUCCGGAAUUACUGGGCGUAAAGAGCUCGUAGGCGGUUUGUCGCGUCGUCUGUGAAAUUCUGCACUCAAUUGCAGGCGUGCAGGCGAUACGGGCAGACUUGAGUACUACAGGGGAGACUGGAAUUCCUGGUGUAGCGGUGAAAUGCGCAGA
RNAcentral lists this ribosomal RNA (628 nucleotides) under Gordonia terrae. Its description in RNAcentral is "bacterial SSU rRNA". It matches the Rfam family "Bacterial small subunit ribosomal RNA", at positions 52 to 694 of the family's 1533-position model. The record is from RNAcentral. Lineage: Bacteria; Bacillati; Actinomycetota; Actinomycetes; Mycobacteriales; Gordoniaceae.